UUACGUCCAUACCACAUUGAAACACCAGUUUUCGUCCGGUGACCGAAGUUAAGCAACAUCGAACCUGGUCAGUACCUUGAUUGGUGACCGCUUGGGAAUACCAGAUUCUG
This is a non-coding RNA of Acanthosepion pharaonis, 110 nucleotides long. NCBI's taxonomy places the organism in Eukaryota, Metazoa, Mollusca, Cephalopoda, Sepiida, Sepiidae. The record is from the annotation of a GenBank genome assembly.